This 518-nucleotide ribosomal RNA is filed under the name uncultured bacterium. RNAcentral describes it as "partial 16S ribosomal RNA". It matches the Rfam family "Bacterial small subunit ribosomal RNA", at positions 28 to 506 of the family's 1533-position model. The record is from RNAcentral.
GACGAACGCUGGCGGCGUGCCUAAUACAUGCAAGUCGAGCGAGCUUGCCUAGAUGAAUUUGGUGCUUGCACCAGAUGAAACUAGAUACAAGCGAGCGGCGGACGGGUGAGUAACACGUGGGUAACCUGCCCAAGAGACUGGGAUAACACCUGGAAACAGAUGCUAAUACCGGAUAACAACACUAGACGCAUGUCUAGAGUUUAAAAGAUGGUUCUGCUAUCACUCUUGGAUGGACCUGCGGUGCAUUAGCUAGUUGGUAAGGCAACGGCUUACCAAGGCAAUGAUGCAUAGCCGAGUUGAGAGACUGAUCGGCCACAUUGGGACUGAGACACGGCCCAAACUCCUACGGGAGGCAGCAGUAGGGAAUCUUCCACAAUGGACGCAAGUCUGAUGGAGCAACGCCGCGUGAGUGAAGAAGGGUUUCGGCUCGUAAAGCUCUGUUGGUAGUGAAGAAAGAUAGAGGUAGUAACUGGCCUUUAUUUGACGGUAAUUACUUAGAAAGCCACGGCUAACUACGU